CGCAGCGAAGUGCGAUAAGUGGUGUGAAUUGCAAAAUCCCGUGAACCAUCGAGUCUUUGAACGCAUGUUGCCCCCGAGGCCAUCAGGCCAAGGGCACCCCUGCCUGGGCUUUGCGAGUCAUCUCUCUCCCUCAAUGAGGCUGUCCAUGCAUACUGUUCACCC
This 162-nucleotide ribosomal RNA is filed under the name Paphiopedilum emersonii. Its description in RNAcentral is "5.8S ribosomal RNA". The stretch from base 1 to 113 matches the Rfam family "5.8S ribosomal RNA", at positions 44 to 154 of the family's 154-position model. Rfam says of the family: 5.8S ribosomal RNA (5.8S rRNA) is a component of the large subunit of the eukaryotic ribosome. It is transcribed by RNA polymerase I as part of the 45S precursor that also contains 18S and 28S rRNA. Lineage: Eukaryota; Viridiplantae; Streptophyta; Magnoliopsida; Asparagales; Orchidaceae. The record is from RNAcentral.